This 439-nucleotide ribosomal RNA is filed under the name uncultured bacterium. RNAcentral's name for it is "partial 16S ribosomal RNA". It matches the Rfam family "Bacterial small subunit ribosomal RNA", at positions 338 to 795 of the family's 1533-position model. The record is from RNAcentral.
CCUACGGGAGGCAGCAGUAGGGAAUAUUGCUCAAUGGGGGAAACCCUGAAGCAGCAACGCCGCGUGGAGGAUGAAGGUUUUCGGAUUGUAAACCCCUUUUGGCAGGGAAGAAAAUGACGGUACCUAAGGAAUAAGCACCGGCUAACCCCGUGCCAGCAGCCGCGGUAAGACGGAGGGUGCAAGCGUUACUCGGAAUCACUGGGCGUAAAGAGCGCGUAGGCGGGGUAGCAAGUCAGCGGUAAAAUUGAGAGGCUCAACCUCUGCGCGCCGUUGAAACUGGUGUUCUUGAGUGCGCGAGAAGUCUGCGGAAUGCGUGGUGUAGCGGUGAAAUGCAUAGAUAUCACGCAGAACUCCGAUUGCGAAGGCAGCAUACCGGCGCUCAACUGACGCUCAUGCACGAAAGUGUGGGUAUCGAACAGGAUUAGAUACCCUGGUAGUC